CUAGUAAUCGCGGAUCAGCAUGCCGCGGUGAAUACGUUCCCGGGCCUUGUACACACCGCCCGUCACACCAUGAGAGUCGGGAACACCCGAAGUCCGUAGCCUAACCGCAAGGGGGCGCGGCCGAAGGUGGGUUCGAUAAUUGGGGUGAAGUCGUAACAAGGUAAC
RNAcentral lists this ribosomal RNA (165 nucleotides) under uncultured bacterium. Its description in RNAcentral is "partial 16S ribosomal RNA". It matches the Rfam family "Bacterial small subunit ribosomal RNA", at positions 1335 to 1500 of the family's 1533-position model. The record is from RNAcentral.